GUAGCCAAUACCCAGAUCAGCAUCGGGUUGGACAUGAUGCUGUAGCCAAUACCCAGAUCAGCAUCUGGUUGGACAUGAGGCUGUAGCCAAUACCCAGAUCAGCAUCUGGUUGGACAUGAGGCUGUAGCCAAUACCCAGAUCAGCAUCGGGUUGGACAUGAUGCUGUAGCCAAUACCCAAAUCAGCAUCGGGUUGGACAUGAUGCUGUAGCCAAUACCCAGAUCAGCAUCUGGUUGGACAUGAGGCUGUAGCCAAUACCCAGAUCAGCAUCUGGUUGGACAUGAGGCUGUAGCCAAUACCCAGAUCAGCAUCUGGUUGGACAUGAGGCUGUCAGCAUCGGGUUGGACAUGAUGCUGUAGCCAAUACCCAGAUCAGCAUCGGGUUGGACAUGAGGCUGUCAGCAUCGGGUUGGACAUGAUGCUGUAGCCAAUACCCAGAUCAGCAUCUGGUUGGACAUGAUGCUGUAGCCAAUACCCAGAUCAGCAUCGGGUUGGACAUGAGGCUGUAGCCAAUACCCAGAUCAGCAUCGGGUUGGACAUGAGGCUGUAGCCAAUACCCAGAUCAGCAUCGGGUUGGACAUGAUGCUGUAGCCAAUACCCAGAUCAGCAUCUGGUUGGACAUGAGGCUGUCAGCAUCUGGUUGGACAUGAUGCUGUAGCCAAUACCCAGAUCAGCAUCGGGUUGGACAUGAGGUUGUCAGCAUCUGGUUGGACAUGAUGCUGUAGCCAAUACCCAGAUCAGCAUCUGGUUGGACAUGAGGCUGUAGCCAAUACCCAGAUCAGCAUCUGGUUGGACAUGAGGCUGUCAGCAUCUGGUUGGACAUGAUGCUGUAGCCAAUACCCAGAUCAGCAUCUGGUUGGACAUGAGGCUGUAGCCAAUACCCAGAUCAGCAUCUGGUUGGACAUGAGGCUGUAGCCAAUACCCAGAUCAGCAUCGGGUUGGACAUGAGGCUGUAGCCAAUACCCAGAUCAGCAUCGGGUUGGACAUGAGGCUGUAGCCAAUACCCAGAUCAGCAUCUGGUUGGACAUGAGGCUGUAGCCAAUACCCAGAUCAGCAUCGGGUUGGACAUGAGGCUGUCAGCAUCGGGUUGGACAUGAGGCUGUAGCCAAUACCCAGAUCAGCAUCGGGUUGGACAUGAGGCUGUCAGCAUCGGGUUGGACAUGAGGCUGUAGCCAAUACCCAGAUCAGCAUCGGGUUGGACAUGAGGCUGUAGCCAAUACCCAGAUCAGCAUCGGGUUGGACAUGAGGCUGUAGCCAAUACCCAGAUCAGCAUCUGGUUGGACAUGAGGCUGUAGCCAAUACCCAGAUCAGCAUCUGGUUGGACAUGAGGCUGUAGCCAAUACCCAGAUCAGCAUCUGGUUGGACAUGAGGCUGUCAGCAUCUGGUUGGACAUGAGGCUGUAGCCAAUACCCAGAUCAGCAUCGGGUUGGACAUGAGGCUGUAGCCAAUACCCAGAUCAGCAUCGGGUUGGACAUGAUGCUGUAGCCAAUACCCAGAUCAGCAUCGGGUUGGACAUGAGGCUGUCAGCAUCUGGUUGGACAUGAGGCUGUAGCCAAUACCCAGAUCAGCAUCGGGUUGGACAUGAGGCUGUAGCCAAUACCCAGAUCAGCAUCUGGUUGGACAUGAGGCUGUAGCCAAUACCCAGAUCAGCAUCGGGUUGGACAUGAGGCUGUCAGCAUCGGGUUGGACAUGAGGCUGUAGCCAAUACCCAGAUCAGCAUCUGGUUGGACAUGAGGCUGUAGCCAAUACCCAGAUCAGCAUCUGGUUGGACAUGAGACUGUAGCCAAUACCCAGAUCAGCAUCGGGUUGGACAUGAGGCUGUAGCCAAUACCCAGAUCAGCAUCUGGUUGGACACGAGGCUGUAGCCAAUACCCAGAUCAGCAUCUGGUUGGACAUGAGGCUGUAGCCAAUACCCAGAUCAGCAUCUGGUUGGACAUGAGGCUGUCAGCAUCGGGUUGGACAUGAUGCUGUAGCCAAUACCCAGAUCAGCAUCUGGUUGGACAUGAGGCUGUAGCCAAUACCCAGAUCAGCAUCUGGUUGGACAUGAGGCUGUAGCCAAUACCCAGAUCAGCAUCUGGUUGGACAUGAGGCUGUCAGCAUCGGGUUGGACAUGAUGCUGUAGCCAAUACCCAGAUCACCUUCACAUGUCUGGGAUAUCGAGUCCAAGGAGCAGGUCCGGACCCUAACGGGUCAUGUGGGGACAGUGUACGCUCUAGCAGUCAUCUCUACACCAGACCAGACCAAGGUGUUCAGCGCCUCCUAUGACCGCUCACUCAGGGUGUGGAGCAUGGACAACAUGAUCUGUACCCAGACCCUCCUCAGACACCAGGGGAGUGUAACCGCCCUGGCCGUCAGCAGGGGGCGCCUGUUCUCUGGAGCUGUGGACAGCACCGUCAAGGUGUGGACAUGUUAGAGGAUGCUGAUUGGUUUGAGAGGUUGCUGUCGAGGAGAGCAGCUGAUUGGUUCCAACCUCAGUGGACCACCCUGUGUCAAACGGACCAUAUGAACUCUGACACACACACACACACACACACACACUGAUUGGUUCAUCAUCCUUGAGGAUCAUGACUGUUUUUAAUAUCUCUACUAUAUGAACUUUAACCCCUGAUGUGGGCAGGGUCAGAAGUGAUCACGACCUUCGUGUCCUUAGCCCAGUGCAUUAUGGGUGGAGCUGCCAUACCUUAGCUCUGCCCGCUGACGACACCAGCCCUCCCCUGAUUGGGACAAUUCCAGAACUGUGGACUGAAGACUUGUUAGCUCCCCAAGUUAAUGCCUUGGCUUCAGUUCAGUCCCCCGGGGGACUGGACCGGUACUGACCCGGUGACCGGACCGUUACUGACCCGGGGGACUGGACCGUUACUGACCCGGGGGACUGACCCGGGGGACUGGACCGUUACUGACCCGGGGGACUGACCCGGGGGACUGGACCGUUACUGACCCGGGGGACUGGACCGUUACUGACCCGGGGACUGGACCGGU
Long non-coding RNA from Oncorhynchus keta (chum salmon), 2977 nucleotides. RefSeq lists it as uncharacterized. The record is from RefSeq and is a predicted model, not a curated record. The transcript has 5 exons. Lineage: Eukaryota; Metazoa; Chordata; Actinopteri; Salmoniformes; Salmonidae.